CCUACGGGAGGCAGCAGUGGGGAAUAUUGCACAAUGGGGGAAACCCUGAUGCAGCGACGCCGCGUGAGUGAAGAAGUAAUUCGUUAUGUAAAGCUCUAUCAGCAGGGAAGAAAAUGACGGUACCUGAGUAAGAAGCCCCGGCUAACUACGUUCCAGCAGCCGCGGUAAUACGUAGGGGGCAAGCGUUAUCCGGAUUUACGGGGUGGAAAGGGAGCGUAGACGGCAGUGCAAGUCUGGAGUGAAAGGCGGGGGCUCAACCCCCGGACUGCUCUGGAAACUGUACGGCUGGAGUGCAGGAGAGGUAAGUGGAAUUCCUAGUGUAGCGGUGAAAUGCGUAGAUAUUAGGAGGAACACCAGUGGCGAAGGCGGCUUACUGGACUGUAACUGACGUUGAGGCUCGAAAGCGUGGGGAGCAAACAGGAUUAGAUACCCGAGUAGUC
RNAcentral lists this ribosomal RNA (440 nucleotides) under uncultured bacterium. RNAcentral describes it as "partial 16S ribosomal RNA". It matches the Rfam family "Bacterial small subunit ribosomal RNA", at positions 338 to 795 of the family's 1533-position model. The record is from RNAcentral.